UCUCUGGUGGUUCAGUGGCUAAGACUCUGCACUCCCAAUGCAGGGGGCCUGGGUUUGAUCCCUGGUCAGAGAA
This 73-nucleotide transfer RNA is filed under the name Bos indicus (zebu cattle). It matches the Rfam family "tRNA". From Rfam's summary of the family: Transfer RNA (tRNA) molecules are approximately 80 nucleotides in length. The record is from Rfam by way of RNAcentral. Lineage: Eukaryota; Metazoa; Chordata; Mammalia; Artiodactyla; Bovidae. RNAcentral also lists the same sequence under 3 other names.